RNAcentral lists this ribosomal RNA (752 nucleotides) under uncultured euryarchaeote. RNAcentral's name for it is "bacterial SSU rRNA". The stretch from base 1 to 475 matches the Rfam family "Archaeal small subunit ribosomal RNA", at positions 469 to 1478 of the family's 1478-position model. The record is from RNAcentral. Lineage: Archaea; Methanobacteriati; Methanobacteriota.
GGUAAUACCGGCGCCUCAAGUGGUAGUCGCUUUUAUUGGGCCUAAAACGUCCGUAGCCGGUCUGAUACAUUCGUGGGUAAAUCAACCAGCUCAACUGGUUGAAUUCUGCGAGGACGGUCAGACUUGGGACCGGGAGAGGUGUGGGGUACGCUCAGGGUAGGGGUAAAAUCCUGUCAUCCUGAGCGGACCACCUGUUGCGAAGGCGCCACACUAGAACGGAUCCGACGGUCAGGGACGAAGCCUAGGGGCACGAACCGGAUUAGAUACCCGGGUAGUCCUAGGUGUAAACGCUGUGGACUUGAUGUUGGGGGUGCUCCGAGCACUCUCAGUGUCGAAGCGAAGGUGAUAAGUCCACUGCCUGGGAAGUACGGUCGCAGGUAAUACCGGCGCCUCAAGUGGUAGUCGCUUUUAUUGGGCCUAAAACGUCCGUAGCCGGUCUGAUACAUUCGUGGGUAAAUCAACCAGCUCAACUGGUUGAAUUCUGCGAGGACGGUCAGACUUGGGACCGGGAGAGGUGUGGGGUACGCUCAGGGUAGGGGUAAAAUCCUGUCAUCCUGAGCGGACCACCUGUUGCGAAGGCGCCACACUAGAACGGAUCCGACGGUCAGGGACGAAGCCUAGGGGCACGAACCGGAUUAGAUACCCGGGUAGUCCUAGGUGUAAACGCUGUGGACUUGAUGUUGGGGGUGCUCCGAGCACUCUCAGUGUCGAAGCGAAGGUGAUAAGUCCACUGCCUGGGAAGUACGGUCGCA